CUCACCUUCAACACUAAGGUUUACCCGCAUACACUGUUCAUACAGAGUUCAGCCUGGCAAGCACCGGCUCUUCGUCAAAGAUCCACUGUUUAAUUUAGAAGUUUUCAAUUGGAUUUGUUGAAUAUAUUAAUCGUUUGAUUUGUUUUGCAGGUCUCAAGCCGUAUGCACUCGACAGAAAGGAGGACACUUGAUGCAGUGUGGAAGACGUUUAGAGGACACACUUUGGUCCAUCAGAGAUGCACCCUUCAUAUUUGGUAGACACCAUGACUGCAACGAUCUACCAAAGAAAGUCUUGGGUUUCAUUCAUGCAAGAAAUAAUAAAUAAUGUGAACUACAGGUAAUGAAGUCAAGAAGCACGGAGUCAAACCAAACAAGCCUUUCAGAAAGAUGCAAGUGAGAGCUUCAUUCUUCAUCGUGCCCUUUCUGUGAGAGGGAGAGGGAAGAGAAAGAAAAGAGUUUGGAAGGAUCCUGUUGGGGAAUCCCUUUCUGCAGAUUCUGAUGCCCUCCAGCACACCAUUACAGCGCAGCUGGUGCAUG
Molecule: long non-coding RNA, 537 nt
Organism: Sinocyclocheilus anshuiensis
Lineage: Eukaryota; Metazoa; Chordata; Actinopteri; Cypriniformes; Cyprinidae
Exons: 4
Source: RefSeq, a predicted model, not a curated record